Molecule: transfer RNA, 83 nt
Filed under: Longimicrobiales bacterium
Lineage: Bacteria; Pseudomonadati; Gemmatimonadota; Longimicrobiia; Longimicrobiales
Description: tRNA-Leu
Rfam family: tRNA
About the family: Transfer RNA (tRNA) molecules are approximately 80 nucleotides in length.
Source: RNAcentral
GCGAACGUGGCGGAACUGGCAGACGCGCCGGAUUUAGGAUCCGGUGGCUCCGUGCCGUGGGGGUUCGAGUCCCUCCGUUCGCA